AAGCCGCAAGGUGAGUAAAGUGGCGUACGGGUGAGUAACACGUGGAUCAUCUGCCUUCUAGUGGGGAAUAACGCUGGGAAACCGGCGCUAAUACCGCAUAAGUCCGGGAGGAGAAAGCAGCAAUGCGCUGGAAGAGGAGUCCGCGGCCGAUUAGCUAGUUGGCAGGGUAAAAGCCUACCAAGGCAAAGAUCGGUAGCCGGCCUGAGAGGGCACACGGCCACACUGGCACUGGAACACGGGCCAGACUCCUACGGGAGGCAGCAGUGGGGAAUAUUGCACAAUGGGGGAAACCCUGAUGCAGCGACGCCGCGUGAGCGAUGAAGCCCUUUGGGGUGUAAAGCUCUUUCGGCAGGGAAGAUAGUGACGGUACCUGCAGAAGCAGCUGCGGCUAACUACGUGCCAGCAGCCGCGGUAAUACGUAGGCAGCAAGCGUUGUUCGGAAUUACUGGGCGUAAAGGGUGUGUAGGCGGUUGUUUAAGUUUGGUGUGAAAUCUCCCGGCUCAACUGGGAGGGUGCGCCGAAUACUGAGUGACUAGAGUGCGGGAGAGGAAAGUGGAAUUCCUGGUGUAGCGGUGAAAUGCGUAGAUAUCAGGAGGAACACCGGUGGUGUAGACGGCUUUCUGGACCGUAACUGACGCUGAAACACGAAAGCGUGGGUAGCAAACAGGAUUAGAUACCCUGGUAGUCCACGCCCUAAACGAUGCAUAUUUGGUGUGGGUCAUUCAGUUGAUCCGUGCCGGAGCUAACGCGUUAAAUAUGC
RNAcentral lists this ribosomal RNA (760 nucleotides) under uncultured bacterium. RNAcentral's name for it is "bacterial SSU rRNA". It matches the Rfam family "Bacterial small subunit ribosomal RNA", at positions 74 to 869 of the family's 1533-position model. The record is from RNAcentral.